This 490-nucleotide ribosomal RNA is filed under the name uncultured bacterium. RNAcentral describes it as "partial 16S ribosomal RNA". It matches the Rfam family "Bacterial small subunit ribosomal RNA", at positions 28 to 507 of the family's 1533-position model. The record is from RNAcentral.
GAUGAACGCUAGCUACAGGCUUAACACAUGCAAGUCGAGGGGCAGCAUGGUCUUAGCUUGCUCAGGCCGAUGGCGACCGGCGCACGGGUGAGUAACACGUAUCCAACCUGCCGUCUACUCUUGGACAGCCUUCUGAAAGGAAGAUUAAUACAAGAUGGCAUCAUGAGUCCGCAUGUUCACAUGAUUAAAGGUAUUCCGGUAGACGAUGGGGAUGCGUUCCAUUAGAUAGUAGGCGGGGUAACGGCCCACCUAGUCUUCGAUGGAUAGGGGUUCUGAGAGGAAGGUCCCCCACAUUGGAACGGAGACACGGUCCAAACUCCUACGGGAGGCAGCAGUGAGGAAUAUUGGUCAAUGGGCGAGAGCCUGAACCAGCCAAGUAGCGUGAAGGAUGACUGCCCUAUGGGUUGUAAACUUCUUUUAGAAAGGAAUAAAGUCGGGUAUGGAUACCCGUUUGCAUGUACUUUAUGAAUAAGGAUCGGCUAACUCCGUG